ACGGUAUGAAAGAAUUCAAAAAUAGUGUAACUCAGUUCUUAUGCUUAAGUCCAAUCACUGUAUGCUUCUCAAUUUUUUUCAAAUUAGAAUUAACCAAUCUCAUCACUGGCAAUUGACUAAACUUCCCUAGUUCAAUGCUCGAUCAAAAUGCAAUAUAUUAAACAUCUACGUGAAUGAAUGCAUGCAAUUUUUUUUUAAAUAAAUGAAACUGAGUGAAUAAAUGGAAAAUAAAUUGAUUACUAAAUAACAAAGCACAAAUGAACAUCCUAACAUGCCAACUACCAAUACCUCCUGCAAAAAGAUAUACAAAUGCAUACCAAAUGAAAUGCAACCUAACACAUAUGCAAAACAACCUAAAUUCCCCCAAACUUAAACUACGCAAUGUCCUCAUUGAAAAGUAAAUAAGAGAGCUAAACGUGAGGACUUCCCUUCGAAGAAGAACUCUCCUCCUCAUCAGGGGAAUCUUGUGGCAGAUAAGCUGGACCAUCACCAUAUACCGGAAAUAGAACUUAGGAGCCUGUAUUUGCACUGAAAAUCCCUAACAACGUAGAUGCAAACCAAGUAUUAAAAGCCAUCAUGGUGUCCAUCCGCUAAGCAAAAGCAUCGAACCGCUUAUUCAUCCUACGAUCCUGUCGAUCUAGCCAUCAGUGCAAGGCCUGAAUAGAGUCAUCAAAAGCAGCGGGAUCCAUCACCUAGGGCUCAUCUUGUUGUUCUUCCUGUUCUUGCUCAUCCUGUUGAUUAUUCAGAAUAAAACCUUUCCCACGCAGAUGUGACUCACCACCUUCCUAAAAAUAUAUAUUUAACAAUUGUGGCAUGAUCAAUGACCGACAUUGGAGCUUGGUGCGGUUCGUCCGGGCCCCACUGAAC
RNAcentral lists this long non-coding RNA (867 nucleotides) under Panax ginseng (ginseng). RNAcentral describes it as "long non-coding RNA (PGIN_LNC015510)". Lineage: Eukaryota; Viridiplantae; Streptophyta; Magnoliopsida; Apiales; Araliaceae. The record is from RNAcentral.